RNAcentral lists this ribosomal RNA (537 nucleotides) under uncultured bacterium. RNAcentral describes it as "bacterial SSU rRNA". It matches the Rfam family "Bacterial small subunit ribosomal RNA", at positions 974 to 1509 of the family's 1533-position model. The record is from RNAcentral.
CCUGGCCUUGACAUACUAAGAACUUUCCAGAGAUGGAUUGGUGCCUUCGGGAACUUAGAUACAGGUGCUGCAUGGCUGUCGUCAGCUCGUGUCGUGAGAUGUUGGGUUAAGUCCCGCAACGAGCGCAACCCUUUUCCUUAUUUGCCAGCGGGUUAAGCCGGGAACUUUAAGGAUACUGCCAGUGACAAACUGGAGGAAGGCGGGGACGACGUCAAGUCAUCAUGGCCCUUACGGCCAGGGCUACACACGUGCUACAAUGGUCGGUACAAAGGGUUGCUACCUCGCGAGAGGAUGCUAAUCUCAAAAAGCCGAUCGUAGUCCGGAUCGCAGUCUGCAACUCGACUGCGUGAAGUCGGAAUCGCUAGUAAUCGCGGAUCAGAAUGCCGCGGUCGAAUACGUUCCCGGGCCUUGUACACACCGCCCGUCACACCAUGGGAGUUUGUUGCACCAGAAGUAGGUAGUCUAACCGCAAGGAGGACGCUUACCACGGUGUGGCCGAUGACUGGGGUGAAGUCGUAACAAGGUAGGCGUAGAUGA